RNAcentral lists this unclassified non-coding RNA (334 nucleotides) under soil metagenome. RNAcentral's name for it is "partial contains 5.8S ribosomal RNA, internal transcribed spacer 2, and large subunit ribosomal RNA". The stretch from base 1 to 120 matches the Rfam family "5.8S ribosomal RNA", at positions 35 to 154 of the family's 154-position model. The record is from RNAcentral.
GAUGAAGAACGCAGCGAAAUGCGAUAAGUAAUGUGAAUUGCAGAAUUCAGUGAAUCAUCGAAUCUUUGAACGCACAUUGCGCCCGCCAGUAUUCUGGCGGGCAUGCCUGUUCGAGCGUCAUUUCAACCAUCAAGCCCCAGGCUUGUGUUGGAGCCCUGCGGCUGCCGCAGCCUCCCAAAACCAGUGGCGGGCUCGCUAUCACACCGAGUGCAGUAGUUUACUCUUCGCUCAGGGCGUGUGGCGGGUGCUAGCCGUAAAACCCCCAACUUCUCAAGGUUGACGUCGGAUCAGGUAGGAAUACCCGCUGAACUUAAGCAUAUCAAUAAGCGGAGGA